GUUGAUAAUAAUAAGAAGAUCUGGAAGAUGAAGAUACCUCCAAAGAAUAAAAUCUUUGCAUGGUAUCUUCGUCGCGGAGUCAUUCUUACUAAAGAUAACCUUAUUAAGAGAAAUUGGCAAGGAAGCCCGCAAUGUGUCUUUUGUCACCAUGAUGAGACAAUAAAACAUUUAUUCUUCCAAUGCAAAUUGGCUCGUUCUAUAUGGUGA
RNAcentral lists this ribosomal RNA (207 nucleotides) under Triticum aestivum (bread wheat). RNAcentral's name for it is "partial small subunit ribosomal RNA". Lineage: Eukaryota; Viridiplantae; Streptophyta; Magnoliopsida; Poales; Poaceae. The record is from RNAcentral.